UCAAGGGAAUUGAGGGGUCCUACUCCUUCGCCCUCAGGUGGUCAUGCAGACUUUACUAAUCGGACUGCCUCUCAAGAUGGAAGAGCUGCAUCUUCACAGAUAUCAAUAGCCAACCCUCAUUAAGACCCUCCCAGCUACUUGGGUAUCAUAAUCAAAAACCCAAAAUCAGCUUGUGAUACUUAAUUGUAAACAGUUUUUAGUUGGGAAGAUAUGGCCAUGGUGAUGUGGUUGUUGAAAAGGUUAGUGCCACAGGAUGAUGUGUACUGAAGUAUAAUGAGAUACAUGCAAACUUGAGAGACACAAGACCAAAAGCACUCUUUCUUGGUAUUUUGAAAGUAUGGGGAUUACUUGGCUAUGUGUUAUUUGGGGUAUUUAAAGAGCUAUUGAAGUACAAGGAUCUCAGCGCAGUUUUACCGUUAGAUGAGGAAGAUAAGUUUGUGCUAUUCUCUAAAGUAACACAUAAAAGUCUAAAAAUUGAGCCAUAUCUUGCUGGGUGAGCAGAAAACUUUUGGAACACCUUGAGAACCUCUACAAUAAUUUUUUCACUGGCAGAGACUGUGUAGAGAGAGCCUUUAGCGAAGGUUAAUUUCAAGAUGUUCUUUAAUGAAUUUUUCAAGUGAUUACUUGCUGGUAAACGUACAAAUGAAAAUUGUCUAUUCAAGUAUCAUUUCAGCUACCAUCAAUGAAAUAACAAGUCAGAGUGGUGUCUAAAUCAAACAUCCAUGUAUAUUUUACAGCCAUGUGGCCUAUUUCCAAACUCUGAUGAAGAAAUUAGAAUACUCCAAGUAAAUGACAUUAAAAAAAGGUGGAAUUUUUAAAUUUUUUUAAUACUGAAAACAAAGAGAUUGGACAUAAUAAUUCACUCCUUUCAAAAAUGCAUACAAUACUUUAUAGAUGUUGUCAAUCUCAAUUUUGUUGCUAUGUAGGCCUUCAAAUUGCAUUAUAAAAUGCAGUGCACCAUUUCAGAGAUGACUCAGUGCACGUGAAUUUUUGAAUGAAUUGGGACAUGAUCAAAGUAUAG
This 1021-nucleotide long non-coding RNA is filed under the name Marmota monax (woodchuck). The record is from RNAcentral. Lineage: Eukaryota; Metazoa; Chordata; Mammalia; Rodentia; Sciuridae.